RNAcentral lists this ribosomal RNA (293 nucleotides) under uncultured bacterium. Its description in RNAcentral is "partial 16S ribosomal RNA". It matches the Rfam family "Bacterial small subunit ribosomal RNA", at positions 505 to 796 of the family's 1533-position model. The record is from RNAcentral.
GUGCCAGCAGCCGCGGUAAUACGGAGGGUGCGAGCGUUGUCCGGAAUCACUGGGCGUAAAGGGCGCGUAGGCGGUCUGGAUAAGCGCGGGGUGAAAGUCCGGGGCUCAACCCCGGAUCGGCCUGGCGGACUGUCCGACUGGAGCACAGUAGAGGCGGGUGGAAUUCCGGGUGUAGCGGUGGAAUGCGUAGAGAUCCGGAAGAACACCGGUGGCGAAGGCGGCCCGCUGGGCUGUGGCUGACGCUGAGGCGCGACAGCGUGGGGAGCAAACAGGAUUAGAAACCCCCGUAGUCC